This is a long non-coding RNA of Homo sapiens (human), 4244 nucleotides long. NCBI's taxonomy places the organism in Eukaryota, Metazoa, Chordata, Mammalia, Primates, Hominidae. The record is from Ensembl.
GAGGCGGGCGGGGUUCCAGCGCGCAGCCGGCCGCCCUCAACCGCUCCCAGCAUCGGUUGCCGGUGGUUCGGGGCAGGGAGACGACGCAGCGCGAGCGGAAAGGGCGGUUACCCAACGGCCUUAGCUCUCAUGGCGUCCUCCGUGGUGUUACCUAAAAAUAAAGUUAUUUGUGAUUAGAAGGUAAUCGCCUCCUGGUCAUGCUUCCGCUGGUCAACAGUGUCUGCGGGGCGACCCCAUCCUUGUGGCCAGAGAGGGCCUGUGGCUGCGCUCAAGGCGGGAGCGGUCCUUAGCGGGGCCCUGCGGGACGCCCAGGCCGCGCUCCUUUCCCUUGCUCGCCUGGCCUUGAAGUGAAGGGGGAGGUUUAACAAUGCAGUGGGAACCCCAAAGUUUGUCUCGGCCGUGCUGCUCACAUUCCAAACAAUGCAAAAGGUUGAGGAAAACCUCAGCAGUUGAAACCGUGAUGCAUUUCAGCAAAGAAGUAGCUCCUGUCCUCGUAAAAUCAGUGAAGUUCUCACGGACGACCUCAUUGAAAGUUUUCAUGGGCUGAGCUGCUGACUUCAGCCUGGGAACUGAGGCCAACAUCGGAGUCUCCUCGGCACACAAGUUUGAAAGAAGUCCUAGUGACUUCAAGCUCAGAACCAUGGACGGCAGGGCUCCCUCUGGAUGUGGAAUUCUCCGUCCCUUUCCAGGGAGGGAACAAAGCCCACAAGCACCGAGACUCCUUCAGGGUGAGCAAAGGCCUGGAAAAACCUGUAUGCAGAUAAAGAAAAGGAAAGAAAGAGAUAAUCAGUGCAUGCAGUUGUCAGCUGGCUGGGACCUGAGGAGAGUCACUUGUGGAGGCAACUGGUCUUUAUCCCCAUUGUCCGGUACAAGGCAGGCAUUAAUCCUGUGAUCCUUAUCUGAAGCUCAGGUUUGAUUUUAUUCUUUUCUUAAGUACCUACUGUUAUCCCCAAGCUUAUAAUAAUAGUUUAAUUGUUACAGCCAGUAUCUCACCUUCAGAAGUAAGAUGCUUAGGAAACCAAGACAAGGAACUGUGUGUUGCAAACAGCAUCACCCUGGAGAAGAGGUGGCAGGAGGUGACCUACAGAAAAUGGAGUAAUAGCCUAGAGCAAGAAACACAGAACAAAAGAGAAAUGAGGGGUUAGGCAACCUCCUGGAGCACCAAUGGGACAAGCACAUAUUCAGGGGCCUCCUAACAGACUCGACUUCCAGCAUCCUCAGAUGGUGCUAGACACGUUACAUAGACGUUCAAGAGUAGAGAACUCAGGGACUUCUGAUUUAUAUCAAGAAAUGCAUACACAGCAGACGUGUGCCUGUGGAGUGGAAUUCUGGAAAAGCUCACAGCCCAGAACAUAAUGCAGACUCCCCCAGCCACAGCACCUUCCAAACCUGAGAAGAGUGCUGAUUCUCCAUCUGAGCACCCAUUCUCCUGCAACAUCAGGGGAGAGGAUUUCACCUAAGGGUCAGACCAGCAUCUCCAAACCCAGCUCCCCACCUUUGCCUGUUGGUGGCACUUGUGGGAGAAGGGGAGAUGGUAUGAAAAGAGCCACAACAGGAGUCACCUGGACAGGGUGGAGCUUGAUGGAAACUGACAUUUGUGCCCAUUGGAGGCAAAUGUAGAAUUUGGUAUCUUCCGUAGCGUCAGGCACAUGAAACUCUCCAGUGCCCAUGACUUUUGACAGUGACUUCAGAGCACAUCUGGGAGACCCAUGUGGCCCAGGCUCCACACAGGCAGGAGCUCAGCUUCACUCACAGCAGGAUUCCUAGUGCCAAGAACACCAUAGGUGCAUAGCAGGUGAUCAAAAUAAUUGUAUGUGGCUGAAUCAGUGAGAGGUAAGAGAGAGGACUUGAUCCUAGCUGCAAACUAAGAGACCUCAUUAAAACCUAACAUGUGGCUGGGUGUGGUGGCUCACGCCUGUAAGCCCAGCACUUUGGGAGGCCGAGGGGUGGAUCACCUGAGGUCAGGAGUUCAAGACAAGCCUGGCCAACGUGGUGAAAACCCAUCUCUACUAAAUAUACAAAAAAUUGGCUGGGCAUGGUGGCAGGUGCCUGUAAUCCCAGCUACUUGGGAGGCUGAGGCAGGAGAAUCACUUGAACCCAGGAGGCGGAGGUUGCAGUGAGCCGAGAUUGCACCACUAUACUCCAGCCUGGCAAUAAGAGCAAAAGUCCGUCUCAAAACAAAAAACGAAAAAACAAAAAACACCUAACAUGUGAGGCCCAGCAUGGUGGCUCAGACCUGUAAUCCCAGGAUUCUGGGAGGCUGAGGCUGGAAGAUUGCUUGAGCCCAGGAGUUCAAGACCAACCUGGGCAACAUAGCGAGACCCUGUCUCUGGGAAAAAAAAAAUUACCUGGGCAUAGUUACAGUCCUAGCUACUCGGGAGGCUGAGGCAGGAGGAUUGCUGGAGCCCAGGAGUUUGAGGUUACAGUGAGCUAUGAUUGCACCACUGUAUUCCAGCCUGGGCAAUGGAGCGACACCCUGUCUGUCUUCAAAAACUAUAUAUAUAUGGUGUAUGUGUGUGUAUGUAUGUGUAUGAUAUCAGAAAAAAAUAACCUAUUCAUGGUGGGGGAAAAAAGAGCCUGACUUUUGAGGUGUAUAAGCGUGGAGUCGGGUUCAAAUCAGGCUCUGAUCUUUCUGGCUCUGUGAUAUGGGGCAGGGCAUAUUACCAAGCUCAGCCUCAGCAUCUCUACCUGUGAAAUGGGCUUGAUUCAGUACACCACACAGGGCUGCUGUAGUAUGUAUGAAUUAAUGUUUGUGAAAUAUUUAGCAUGGUGCCUGACACAUGGUACUCAGUAAGAAACAACUAUUGCUAUUAAGUGCUUUGCACUUUGGUUUUCACAGAGCUAACAAUUUUUACUGUCUAGCUUUGUGUCUUUGAAAGAUUUUUGAGCUCUGAGAAUGACCUUUUAAGACCUCAGCACUUCUAGAAGAGGUCACACUUUGAGCUUCAAUAGCUAGCAUUUUUGUCAAUUAGUUAACAGUGUGCUGAAAGCAAGUCCCUGUAGAGAGUGUUCACGGGCAUGAGCCACAGGGAAUACAAUGUGAGGCCUGUGGAGGUGGCAGCUGAGGAUGUCAACAGGGAAAGCACAGAGUACCAAAGACAAAAGUUGCCCAGGACAGUUCUGUGUUAGCUACCUGGUGGCAGCCUGGACACCCAAAGAUAGAGCUGAAGACACCUCUAAUACAAGAGGCGGAUGCCCCGGAGACGUGGCUGAUUCCUUGGCUAAUUUCCUCAGCCCCACCGUUGUGCAGCUUUGUGACUUCCUGGAGAGCCUACAUGCAAACAGAAAAGUCCCAGGAUAAAGAAAUGUGGAUAUUCCACACAUUUUAAAAAGACCUGGAGGGAUGAAGAGGACAAGCUGUCCCAGUAGGCCCCGGACUGCCCUGGUUUUAACACUAAAUGUCCGACAUCCUGAUAACCCUUACUCCCAGGCAAAUCAGGCCAGUUGGUCAUCUAAUUGGAGGUUAUCAAAGGAGGUGGGUUUUAGCAUCCUCUUUCCUUUCCUGUUACAUUGAGACCAUGGGGUGCUAUUGAAUAAACUUGAUUCGGUUUCUUCAAAAAAAGCCAGAAAUUGAUCUAAUAGGUUUUGCUCAUAUUUGGUAAUUGAAUUGGACUGUAUACAGUCUGCACGUUUACCUUAUUUUCCAUUAUAUAAUGGUACCAAAUAUCACAAUGAUUUUCAAAAAUUAAUGCUUUUAGUGAUGGAUUACUAGGUGUUGAAAUGCUUUAUAAUAUACUUAUGAAAACAUUUAUACAAAUAAUUUCAUCCUCCACAUGACAUUUAGAAAAGUUUAGUCUGGCUGGGUACAGUGGCUCACUCCUGUAAUCCCAGCACUUUGGGAGGCCAAGGCAGGUGGAUCACCUUAGGUUAGGAGUUCGAGACCAGCCUGGCCAACAUGGUGAAACCCCGUCUCUACUAAAAAUACAAAAAAUAGCCCAGUGUGGUGGCGCACACAUGUAGUCCUAGCUACUUGGUAGGCUGAGGCAGCAGAAUCACUUGAAUCUGGGAGGCAGAGGUUGCAGUGACCCAAGAUCACGCCACUGCAUUCCAGCCCAGGAGACAGGGUGAGACUCUGUUUCAAAAAGAAAGAAAAGAGAAGAGAAAAGAUGAAAAGGAAAUGUUUAGUUUGAAAUUCCGUUACCGAAAGUUCUCGGGGGUUGGGGGAGGUGGGAGGCAAUAUCUUUUUGCUAUUAUAUUUCUUAUAGUGCAGUGUCAGUGAAACUAUGUCAUCCUUUGUAAAAUCA